CCUACGGGGGGCAGCAGUGGGGAAUAUUGGACAAUGGGGGGAACCCUGAUCCAGCCAUGCCGCGUGUGUGAAGAAGGCCCUCGGGUUGUAAAGCACUUUCAGUGAGGAAGAACGCCUGGUGGUUAAUACCCAUCAGGAAAGACAUCACUCACAGAAGAAGCACCGGCUAACUCCGUGCCAGCAGCCGCGGUAAUACGGAGGGUGCGAGCGUUAAUCGGAAUUACUGGGCGUAAAGCGCGUGUAGGUGGCUUGAUAAGCCGGUUGUGAAAGCCCCGGGCUCAACCUGGGAACGGCAUCCGGAACUGUCAAGCUAGAGUGCAGGAGAGGAAGGUAGAAUUCCCGGUGGAGCGGUGAAAUGCGUAGAGAUCGGGAGGAAUACCAGUGGCGAAGGCGGCCUUCUGGACUGACACUGACACUGAGGUGCGAAAGCGUGGGUAGCAAACAGGAUUAGAUACCCCGGUAGUC
RNAcentral lists this ribosomal RNA (465 nucleotides) under Vreelandella stevensii. RNAcentral describes it as "partial 16S ribosomal RNA". It matches the Rfam family "Bacterial small subunit ribosomal RNA", at positions 338 to 795 of the family's 1533-position model. Lineage: Bacteria; Pseudomonadati; Pseudomonadota; Gammaproteobacteria; Oceanospirillales; Halomonadaceae. The record is from RNAcentral.